GUUUCUGUAGUGUAGUGGUUAUCACGUUCGCCUCACACACGCGAAAGGUCCCCGGUUCGAGACCGGGCAGAAACA
Dallia pectoralis (Alaska blackfish) is the source of this 75-nucleotide non-coding RNA. Lineage: Eukaryota; Metazoa; Chordata; Actinopteri; Esociformes; Umbridae. The record is from the annotation of a GenBank genome assembly.